RNAcentral lists this transfer RNA (76 nucleotides) under Phascolarctobacterium faecium. Its description in RNAcentral is "tRNA-Pro". It matches the Rfam family "tRNA". From Rfam's summary of the family: Transfer RNA (tRNA) molecules are approximately 80 nucleotides in length. Their secondary structure includes four short double-helical elements and three loops (D, anti-codon, and T loops). The record is from RNAcentral. RNAcentral also lists the same sequence under 7 other names. Lineage: Bacteria; Bacillati; Bacillota; Negativicutes; Acidaminococcales; Acidaminococcaceae.
CGGGGUGUAGCGCAGUUGGUAGCGCGCCUGCUUUGGGAGCAGGAUGCCGGGGGUUCGAGUCCCUUCACUCCGACCA